GCCAAUUCAAUAAAUAAAAAAAAAUAUUCAAAGGAAUUUCAUCAAGUGGUAGGGAGGGGGAGGAAAAUCACAUAGAAGUCAAUUAAUUAAGCCAUUAAGUGAAUAAUUGAGAUAAUCCUCUAGAAAACAUUAGCGACUUGGGGUUAAACCCUAAUCUAUCUAGCACAUAGUGAGAAGAUGGGUGAUGGUCAAAGACCAGAAGUACAAUGGCUGAGCCUGAUCAUUCUUUGAAGGAUUGGGCUUGAUCAAUGGGACAAUGGCCUUGACUUUCCUCUAAUGGAAGCUGGAAACAUUUAGUAAAUGACAAAGGUUCAUGCCCCCGCCCAUUGCGAUCUGCUGUAUUUACAUGGCUAUGGCUAAUGUUUGGGGGAGGAAAAUGACAAGAAAUUGCUAAUUCUAUUUUCUUCCCUUUUUUCCUUCCUGUUCCAAACAGAGCACAAGAGUCGGUAGAAAUAAAGGUCUAUAGAGAAAAUACUUCCCAGAAGAACUGACUACACCAACCCCAUGAAGAUGACAAAAAAGAGAUGCUUUCCGUAGACUCAGUAUCAUAGAUUAAGCAAAGCUCUGAAGACAUGCUUCUGUUCAAUCAAGACAGGAUAUCAAACAAUAAGGACAUGACCAAGUAUCACGAGCAACUUACUCAAGGUAGUCCAGCUGCUUGAGAAAUUUGACACCAUUCAGGUAUUCACCAUUUCCUUGUUUGAUGCUCAAACCCUUAAGGAUGAUCCAAAUAUUAACCAAAGGACUCCAGUUACUCUUAUUAGAAGUUUAGAAUAUGUUCAAACGUGUUAUAAACCAAAUUAAAUAUGACUCUGUAAGACUGAAUCAUAAUAUCGUAAAUACUGCAAAAACACAGCAGGAAGGAUUGCCUUCAUAUUCACGCCCAUCAAUCAGAAUAAAAAGUAAUAUUGGGCCUCCCAGGAAACAGUUCAUGUUUAAGAGCUUCUUUGACUGUUUAGUUGCAUAAAUGUGUGUAUUCCUUUGUUCCACCCUACUGUUAUAAAUUUUAAUUUCCAAACAAAAUUCACGGGCAUUCAUCUCAUCUAUUCAUUUUAUGAAAAUAAAGAACUGGAAAACCGGAAUCAUUCAUAACCUCAAGAAAACCACAAUCUCCCUGAGAUUUGAUGAACUUCAUAUUUUUCCUCAGUUUUGAGAGGAUCAAAUUCUCACUGAACAGUUCCCAAAGAACAAGAUUUCCCUCAAGAAUAUGUAGAUUUUUUGCAGCACAGUCAGUGAAAAGUGAAAACCAACUUCCUACAUAAAAUCAAAGGUUGCAACAAGGAAUAAACUGCUACCAACUCCCAAGUGACUGAAUAUACAAAUUGGAAAAUUAUAGAUUGUUGGUUUACUGCUCAUCAGAGGGAUAUUUAGUCUAAUCCACCACCUAAAUAUCAGUUUGAGGAGCUCAAAGACUUCCUAAUAUUCCGAAGGAUACUCCACAUAAACAUGGAUAUCAGGAAGAGGAUAAUACCAGUAACAAUUGCAUACUUGAGACCAAGGUUCACCAAUAAAUUGACCAGCAGCCCAGCCAAUACAACACCAACAAAAUUUGCUGAUACAGCUGGCCAGAAUGGCAUAUCAAGAAUAGAAGCAAUGAUGGCUCCGGUCCAUGCUCCAGUACCAGGGAAAGGGACGGCAACAAAAAGCAUCAAGCCAAGCCACUGAAACUCUUCCACAGGACCAGCCUUCUUUUUGGCAUUCUCAAACAGCAUGUCAAGGAAUCGAGAUGCCGACUGGUUCUUUCCAGCAAGGAAAGAAGCAAAUCUCUUCAAAUAAAGUAUAAUGAAAGGCACAGGAACCAUGUUCCCAAUAAUCGAUAAGACAGUUAGCGUUAGAGGCUUAAGUUGCAUCCAAUAACCAACAGGAAUAGCUCCACGGAGCUCAAGCACUGGAAGCGUAGCAAGAGCAAACACCACAGCUUCAUCAGGCCAACCCGAAACUCGAAGAGCGCUGCCAAUCUUUAGCCCAAAGCUGGAGGCUUUGAUGGAAUUGACAGCUGCAUUAGCAUCCCCAGAAGCUGCAAACCAAGCAAGAGAAAGAGAAGCCCAAAACACAACCCAAAACAGAAAUUUGGCUGGCCUUUCCUCAAAGGACGGCAAUAUUUCUUCAUCAUCUGCAGGAUCAAGAAACCUAAGUGAAGAAGAUCUAGCUAAAGCGAAAGGAGCAGACGAGAAAAUACGAUAGCCAGGAAGAUCCACAGUUUGAAAUGCCAAGAAUGGCUUGGACUUGAAAAGAGCUUGUUUGUCAUGGGAAAUAGAAGGAUAAGGACUAGUAUUCAAACGGUUAGGCAAGGCUCUGAGAUGGGUAUUUCUAAAAGAGAAGGAUAGGUAAAAUGGUGACACAGAGGCAGCCAUUGAAAGAGGCAAGCUUAAAAUUCAAAGAAUAUUCAUUCCAGCUCCAUCAAAAUUGGGGGUUUGGCAACACAAAAGGAGAUUCUGAGAUUACAAGUGACCCUCAAUAAUCUAGCUCGACAUUUCGCAGUUUUGAGUUGAGAAUCUGAAUGGCAAUUAGGUAUAAAUAAUAAGCCUUUUGAAGAGAUAAUAAAAGACUUGUCUUUCUCUUAGCCCAAUCAGGUGGAGAGAAAUGGAAAUGAAAUUAGAACUUCGUUUCCAACUACUCUAUGGGCAAAUUGUUACUGCUACCUAGUGGCCGCCAAGGCAGGCGCUUUGGGUUAUUAAGGUA
This 2682-nucleotide unclassified non-coding RNA is filed under the name Hevea brasiliensis (rubber tree). The record is from RNAcentral. Lineage: Eukaryota; Viridiplantae; Streptophyta; Magnoliopsida; Malpighiales; Euphorbiaceae.